This 1537-nucleotide ribosomal RNA is filed under the name metagenome. Its description in RNAcentral is "bacterial LSU rRNA". It matches the Rfam family "Bacterial large subunit ribosomal RNA", at positions 1402 to 2925 of the family's 2925-position model. The record is from RNAcentral.
CCUUCGGGACUAGGGGUGAGGCUGAACGCUCGAUCCGAUCGGGUAGUAGGUAAGCGAUGGGGUGACGCAGGAAGGUAGUCCAGCCCAGGCGAUGGUUGUCCUGGGGUAAGCAUGUAGGGCGGAACGUAGGUAAAUCCGCGUUCUAUUCAGCCUGAGAUGUGAUGCCGAGCCGAUUGUGGUGAAGUGGAUGAUCCUAUGCUGCCGAGAAAAGCCUCUAGUGAGUGUUGUGGCGGCCCGUACCCUAAACCGACUCAGGUGGUCAGGUAGAGAAUACCAAGGCGAUCGGGUGAACUGUGGUUAAGGAACUCGGCAAAUUGCCCCCGUAACUUCGGGAGAAGGGGGACCUCUGCUGGUGAUGGGCUUUACGUUCUGAGCUGGUGGGGGUCGCAGUGGCCAGGGGGAAGCGACUGUUUACUAAAAACACAGGUCCGUGCGAAGUCGUAAGACGAUGUAUACGGACUGACGCCUGCCCGGUGCCGGAACGUUAAGGGGACCGCUUAGCCAGCUUCGGUUGGCGAAGGUGAGAACUUAAGCGCCGGUAAACGGCGGUGGUAACUAUAACCAUCCUAAGGUAGCGAAAUUCCUUGUCGGGUAAGUUCCGACCUGCACGAAUGGCGUAACGACUUCCCCGCUGUCUCAACCACAGACCCGGCGAAAUUGCACUACGAGUAAAGAUGCUCGUUUCGCGCAGCAGGACGGAAAGACCCCGGGACCUUCACUACAGCUUGACAUUGGCGUUUGGAACGUCUUGUGUAGGAUAGGUGGGAGACUGGGAAGCUGUCACGCUAGUGAUGGUGGAGUCAUUGGUGAAAUACCACUCUGGUCGUUUUGAACGUCUAACUCUGGUCCGUGAUCCGGAUCGGGGACAGUGUCUGGUGGGUAGUUUAACUGGGGCGGUUGCCUCCUAAAGAGUAACGGAGGCGCCCAAAGGUUCCCUCAGCCUGGUUGGCAAUCAGGUGUUGAGUGUAAGUGCACAAGGGAGCUUGACUGUGAGACUGACAGGUCGAGCAGGAGCGAAAGCUGGGACUAGUGAUCCGGCAUCGGCGUGUGGAAGCGGUGUCGCUCAACGGCUAAAAGGUACCCCGGGGAUAACAGGCUGAUCUUCCCCAAGAGUCCAUAUCGACGGGAUGGUUUGGCACCUCGAUGUCGGCUCGUCGCAUCCUGGGGCUGGAGUAGUCCCAAGGGUUGGGCUGUUCGCCCAUUAAAGCGGUACGCGAGCUGGGUUUAGAACGUCGCGAGACAGUUCGGUCCCUAUCCGCUGCGCGCGCAGGAGACUUGAAGGGGGCUGUCCCUAGUACGAGAGGACCGGGACGGACGAACCUCUGGUGUGCCAGUUGUACCGCCAGGUGCACGGCUGGUUGGCUACGUUCGGAAGGGAUAACCGCUGAAAGCAUCUAAGCGGGAAGCUCGCCUUGAGAUGAGGUCUCCCACCCUGUGAGGGGGUAAGGCUCCCGGUAGAUCACCGGGUUGAUAGGCCGGAGGUGGAAGCACGGUAACGUGUGGAGCUGUCCGGUACUAACAGGCCGAGGACUUGAUC